This 615-nucleotide non-coding RNA is filed under the name Pan troglodytes (chimpanzee). The record is from RNAcentral. Lineage: Eukaryota; Metazoa; Chordata; Mammalia; Primates; Hominidae.
CCCAUCUGGGCUACUAUAACCACAUGGACCAUCCCUUGCUUCAAUCAUAGAAUUCUUUCUUCAGAUCAAAGUAUAUUCAGACACCCGAUACAGUAACAAAAGCAAGCUAUCCUGGAAACAAGAAGGAAUCAGGAGGCAGAGCACAUGGUUAAAGCAUGAGAUGUGAAACCAGGAAGAACCAGGUCUGAACCUUAGCUCCACCAGUGGUAGCCCCAAACCUUGGUCCUUUCUGAGCCUGCUUCUUCAACCCUAAGAGCAAGACCAAAAGCAGCUUCAAUUAUGGUACAACUGUGUGAAGACACAAUGCGAAACCACUCAAGAAUGCUCACUCAAAUGGAUUUUUACCAUGGAACUCGGAAACGGGACCCAGAAAGUUGUUUUCUGCAAGUGGAUGGAACAACACAAGCAAUCAGUAUCCUGAAACAGGCCCUGUUCCAACAAACUGACCCAGAAAGGUCUGGUUAGGAGGACAGGACCCUCACUAUACACUAUCACAUUUAAACUAAAAGGAUAUUAUGGAAUUAUGUAGACAUAUCAAGCUGAGAGGAAAGGAAAUCCUAUCAUCUUGCAGGCUUCCUAAUGAUCUUACUUAAAACUGAGUUACUGCAACAAUAA